RNAcentral lists this unclassified non-coding RNA (345 nucleotides) under soil metagenome. Its description in RNAcentral is "partial contains 5.8S ribosomal RNA, internal transcribed spacer 2, and large subunit ribosomal RNA". The stretch from base 1 to 119 matches the Rfam family "5.8S ribosomal RNA", at positions 35 to 154 of the family's 154-position model. The record is from RNAcentral.
GAUGAAGAACGCAGCGAAAUGCGAUACGUAAUGUGAAUUGCAAAUUCAGUGAAUCAUCGAGUCUUUGAACGCACAUUGCGCCCCCUGGUAUUCCGGGGGGCAUGCCUGUCCGAGCGUCAUUGCUGCCCUCAAGCACGGCUUGUGUGUUGGGCCCCGUCCUCCGAUUCCGGGGGACGGGCCCGAAAGGCAGCGGCGGCACCGCGUCCGGUCCUCGAGCGUAUGGGGCUUUGUCACCCGCUCUGUAGGCCCGGCCGGCGCUUGCCGAUCAACCCAAAUUUUUAUCCAGGUUGACCUCGGAUCAGGUAGGGAUACCCGCUGACCUUAAGCAUAUCAAUAAGCGGAGGA